AUUCCUGUAGCUAAAUAAAGUGAGUGACUCUUAAUCCCUCGAUGCAGACCUCUGUCGGGAAUA
Molecule: transfer RNA, 63 nt
Filed under: Hiatula diphos (diphos sanguin)
Lineage: Eukaryota; Metazoa; Mollusca; Bivalvia; Cardiida; Psammobiidae
Description: Soletellina diphos (diphos sanguin) tRNA-Lys
Rfam family: tRNA
About the family: Transfer RNA (tRNA) molecules are approximately 80 nucleotides in length.
Source: RNAcentral